Molecule: ribosomal RNA, 632 nt
Filed under: uncultured bacterium
Lineage: Bacteria
Description: bacterial SSU rRNA
Rfam family: Bacterial small subunit ribosomal RNA
Source: RNAcentral
UGCCUAACACAUGCAAGUCGAACGGUAACAGGAGAGAGCUUGCUCUCUUGCUGACGAGUGGCGGACGGGUGAGUAAUGCAUAGGAAUCUGCCCAUUAGUGGGGGACAACUUGGGGAAACUCAAGCUAAUACCGCAUACGCCCUACGGGGGAAAGCAGGGGAUCUUUCGGGACCUUGCGCUAUUGGAUGAGCCUAUGUCUGAUUAGCUAGUUGGUGAGGUAAUGGCUCACCAAGGCGGCGAUCAGUAGCUGGUCUGAGAGGAUGAUCAGCCACACUGGGACUGAGACACGGCCCAGACUCCUACGGGAGGCAGCAGUGGGGAAUAUUGGACAAUGGGGGCAACCCUGAUCCAGCAAUGCCGCGUGUGUGAAGAAGGCCUGCGGGUUGUAAAGCACUUUCAGUUGGGAAGAAAAGCUUAGGGUUAAUAACCCUGAGUCUUGACGUUACCAUCAGAAGAAGCACCGGCUAACUCUGUGCCAGCAGCCGCGGUAAUACAGAGGGUGCGAGCGUUAAUCGGAAUUACUGGGCGUAAAGCGCGCGUAGGCGGCUUGGUCAGUCGGAUGUGAAAGCCCUGGGCUCAACCUGGGAAUUGCAUUCGAUACUGCCAGGCUAGAGUAUGGGAGAGGGAAGUGG